UGCAAGUCGAACGGAAAGGCCCUUCGGGGUACUCGAGUGGCGAACGGGUGAGUAACACGUGGGUGAUCUGCCCUGCACUUUGGGAUAAGCCUGGGAAACUGGGUCUAAUACCGAAUAUACCUCUUGGAUUGCAUGAUUCUUGGGGGAAAGCUUUUGCGGUGUGGGAUGGGCCCGCGGCCUAUCAGCUUGUUGGUGGGGUGAUGGCCUACCAAGGCGACGACGGGUAGCCGGCCUGAGAGGGUGACCGGCCACACUGGGACUGAGAUACGGCCCAGACUCCUACGGGAGGCAGCAGUGGGGAAUAUUGCACAAUGGGCGCAAGCCUGAUGCAGCGACGCCGCGUGGGGGAUGACGGCCUUCGGGUUGUAAACCUCUUUCAGUAGGGACGAAGCGCAAGUGACGGUACCUACAGAAGAAGGACCGGCCAACUACGUGCCAGCAGCCGCGGUAAUACGUAGGGUCCGAGCGUUGUCCGGAAUUACUGGGCGUAAAGAGCUCGUAGGUGGUUUGUCGCGUUGUUCGUGAAAACCGGGGGCUUAACCCUCGGCGUGCGGGCGAUACGGGCAGACUAGAGUACUGCAGGGGAGACUGGAAUUCCUGGUGUAGCGGUGGAAUGCGCAGAUAUCAGGAGGAACACCGGUGGCGAAGGCGGGUCUCUGGGCAGUAACUGACGCUGAGGAGCGAAAGCGUGGGGAGCGAACAGGAUUAGAUACCCUGGUAGUCCACGCCGUAAACGGUGGGUACUAGGUGUGGGUUUCCUUCCUUGGGAUCCGUGCCGUAGCUAACGCAUUAAGUACCCCGCCUGGGGAGUACGGCCGCAAGGCUAAAACUCAAAGGAAUUGACGGGGGCCCGCACAAGCGGCGGAGCAUGUGGAUUAAUUCGAUGCAACGCGAAGAACCUUACCUGGGUUUGACAUGCACAGGACGCCAGUAGAGAUAUUGGUUCCCUUGUGGCCUGUGUGCAGGUGGUGCAUGGCUGUCGUCAGCUCGUGUCGUGAGAUGUUGGGUUAAGUCCCGCAACGAGCGCAACCCUUGUCUCAUGUUGCCAGCACGUUAUGGUGGGGACUCGUGAGAGACUGCCGGGGUCAACUCGGAGGAAGGUGGGGAUGACGUCAAGUCAUCAUGCCCCUUAUGUCCAGGGCUUCACACAUGCUACAAUGGCCGGUACAAAGGGCUGCGAUGCCGUGAGGUGGAGCGAAUCCUUUCAAAGCCGGUCUCAGUUCGGAUCGGGGUCUGCAACUCGACCCCGUGAAGUCGGAGUCGCUAGUAAUCGCAGAUCAGCAACGCUGCGGUGAAUACGUUCCCGGGCCUUGUACACACCGCCCGUCACGUCAUGAAAGUCGGUAACACCCGAAGCCGGUGGCCUAACCCCUUGUGGG
This 1379-nucleotide ribosomal RNA is filed under the name Mycolicibacterium litorale. RNAcentral's name for it is "Mycobacterium litorale 16S ribosomal RNA". It matches the Rfam family "Bacterial small subunit ribosomal RNA". Lineage: Bacteria; Bacillati; Actinomycetota; Actinomycetes; Mycobacteriales; Mycobacteriaceae. The record is from RNAcentral.